AAAAUUUUUAUAGUUAAAAUAAAAUUUUAUAUAAUUUAUAUUAUAAAUAAAUUUUAGUGUAAUUCUAAUUUAAAAAAUUUUUUUAAUAGUAAUUAAUAUUAAAAAUUUAAGAAAUUAAGAUUUAGUAAUAUAAAAAUCAUUAACUAAUUUUGUGCCAGCAGUUGCGGUUAAACAGAAAAUGAAUAAAUUUUUAUUAGUUAUAAUUAAUUUAAUUAAUUAAAUAAAUUAAAUUAAAAAUUAUUAAGUAAAAUUUUAAUUAAAAAAAAAUUUAUAUUUAAAUUUAAUGUAUUAAAAAAUUUUAAAUAAAAACUAGGAUUAGAUACCCUAUUAUUAAAAAUUAAUAAUUAAAAUACUAAAAUAUUAUAUAAUUAUUUAUAAAAACUUAAGUAAAUUGGCGGUAUUUUAUUAAAUUUAGAGGAAUCUGUUUAUUAAUUGAUAAUCCACGAAUAAAUUUACUUAAUUUAAAAAUUUAUAUAUCGUUGUUGUAAAUAUUUUUAAAAAAAAAUAAUAUUUAAAAAUUUAAAUAUAAAAUUAAUUCAAAUCAAGAUGUAGUUUAUAAUUAAGAAUAUAAUGGAUUACAAUAAAUUUAUUUAAAUGAAUUUUAAAUUGAAAAAUUUAAAUGAAAUUGGAUUUAAAUGUAAUUUUUUUAUUAAUUUUAAAAAAUGAUUUUUAAUUAAAAUAUGUACAUAUUGCCCGUCACUUCUAUUAAUAAAUUAGAAUAAGUCGUAACAAAGUAGAGAUACUGGAAAGUGUUUCUAGAAAGAU
This 765-nucleotide non-coding RNA is filed under the name Leucoptera malifoliella (pear leaf blister moth). Lineage: Eukaryota; Metazoa; Arthropoda; Insecta; Lepidoptera; Lyonetiidae. The record is from RNAcentral.